AGAGAAUAGGAAACUUAACGCCUUAACAGGUGGUUAGUGUAUCGAUAUCUAUGUACAUGCACAUAUAUACGUACGUACUGGCAGCACAUAUUAUCAAGACUACUAAUAUUAUACUCUCAUAUGCAGAAGGAAACAAACAUUGACUUAGCUACUUGGAUAAAGGAAAUGAAGAGAAUAACUGGCAACGAGGAGCUUCAGGUUCAGCUUCAGGUGGUUCAGAAGGAAAGAAUGCGGAUUGUGGAGAGCAUUAGCAGCAGUCGACCAGAAGCCGCUGUGUGAGGAUGGCGUGUGGGACUCCUGCUGAAAUCCUUCCUCGCCCCCCCGACACUCCAUCUCAGCCAAACACCCGUCUCCCCAGCUUGAACACUCCUUGUUUGUGAAACUGCAGGCAUGUUGAAGAUGCAAGGCAGCUGGAAUCCUUGGAUGCUGGACAGACAUCCAGGGUGUGGAGUGUCUUGGUUAUUUCAGACUGAGACCAGUGAAUUUGUGUUCAGUUUAAGAUAAACUUGUCUCGAUGAAUUUUUCCUUAAUGGUUGCUGUUUAAUUUAAUGUUUGAUUUUCACUGGUUGAUAUCUUGAUUUAUCUAUUUAUCUAUAUAUUCAAGAUGUUACGAUAUGUAAACCUUCACUACACCCCUUCAUGGCAGGCUUGUGUUUAUUUACCCAUUUCACUUAUGCCUGAAGUCAAGCCUGCUGUUCUUUUUAAAUUGCAGAUUUGAUAAUCAUUUAAAAAAAUAUAUAUUUCAUCGGAAAGCUUA
This is a long non-coding RNA of Scylla paramamosain (green mud crab), 757 nucleotides long. RefSeq lists it as uncharacterized. The record is from RefSeq and is a predicted model, not a curated record. The transcript has 2 exons. NCBI's taxonomy places the organism in Eukaryota, Metazoa, Arthropoda, Malacostraca, Decapoda, Portunidae.